GCAGUAGCCGCGGGAAUACGAAGGGGGCUAGCGUUGUUCGGAAUUACUGGGCGUAAAGGGCGCGUAGGCGGCCAUUCGAGUUAGAUGUGAAAGCCCUGGGCUCAACCUAGGAAUUGCAUUUGAUACUGUUUGGCUUGAGUUCGGGAGAGGUGAGUGGAAUUCCCAGUGUAGAGGUGAAAUUCGUAGAUAUUGGGAAGAACACCAGUGGCGAAGGCGGCUCACUGGACCGACACUGACGCUGAGGCGCGAAAGCGUGGGGAGCAAACAGGAUUAGAUACCCGCGUAGUCCCUGUCUCUUAUAC
This 302-nucleotide ribosomal RNA is filed under the name uncultured bacterium. Its description in RNAcentral is "partial 16S ribosomal RNA". It matches the Rfam family "Bacterial small subunit ribosomal RNA", at positions 508 to 807 of the family's 1533-position model. The record is from RNAcentral.